CUUGCAUAGGUGAUCUGUUUCGAGGGUAAUCAACAAAGUGUAAGCCAUAUAAAACAUGAAAUAACUACUUUG
This 72-nucleotide transfer RNA is filed under the name Candidozyma auris. Its description in RNAcentral is "[Candida] auris tRNA-Asp". The record is from RNAcentral. Lineage: Eukaryota; Fungi; Ascomycota; Pichiomycetes; Serinales; Metschnikowiaceae.